UCGAUGAAGAACCUCCCUUCAGAGUCAGUCCUGAGUUUGGGCUGGCCAGUGAACAUCUCUGCCAGCUUGGAGCCAGGGUGUUUCUUCAAGUACUCAGCAGAUGAAAAGAAAAGGGAUGAAAGAAAGAAGACAGUUCCUUUCCUCCUGCCAGCAGUACUGUAAUGCAAGUCACAAGCCAAGCCAGGGCCACACCUGCCAUUGGGAAGGCUGAGCUGGAUUGGCUGGAUUGGCUGACAGAGGAUUUAACAAGCACAGAGCUGACAAAAGGAUGGGACUAGGAACAGACAGCCUGGUGCAAUGGGAGACCUUCCCUUUAAACAGGAGCAAACAAUCAGAUUUAGCAGAAACUUGCUCACACCCUAAGCAAGCCAGGGAAGCAACACGAGAUUCAGGCCAAAGACCCCGCUGGAAUACUGCUUUGCACUAGUGUGGGUAUUUUCAACUCAAGAGCAAUCAUUUACGCUUGGGUCAAGAUGACAAGCACUAUUCUGUCUGAGACUAUCUUGUGAUUUCCACCUACUGAAAUACAGCCCAAAGCUGUU
Vidua chalybeata is the source of this 542-nucleotide long non-coding RNA. RefSeq lists it as uncharacterized. The transcript is spliced from 3 exons. The record is from RefSeq and is a predicted model, not a curated record. Lineage: Eukaryota; Metazoa; Chordata; Aves; Passeriformes; Viduidae.